GGAUUGCCCUAGUAACGGCGAGUGAAGCGGCAACAGCUCAAAUUUGAAAUCUGGCGUCUUUGGCGUCCGAGUUGUAAUUUGCAGAGGGCGCUUUGGCAUUGGCAGCGGUCCAAGUUCCUUGGAACAGGACGUCACAGAGGGUGAGAAUCCCGUACGUGGUCGCUAGCCUUUACCGUGUAAAGCCCCUUCGACGAGUCGAGUUGUUUGGGAAUGCAGCUCUAAAUGGGAGGUAAAUUUCUUCUAAAGCUAAAUACUGGCCAGAGACCGAUAGCGCACAAGUAGAGUGAUCGAAAGAUGAAAAGCACUUUGGAAAGAGAGUUAAAAAGCACGUGAAAUUGUUGAAAGGGAAGCGCUUGCAGCCAGACUUGCCUGUAGUUGCUCAUCUAGGUUUCUACCUAGUGCACUCUUCUAUAGGCAGGCCAGCAUCAGUUUGGGCGGUUGGAUAAAGGUCUCUGUCAUGUACCUCUCUUCGGGGAGAACUUAUAGGGGAGACGACAUGCAACCAGCCUGGACUGAGGUCCGCGCAUCUGCUAGGAUGCUGGCGUAAUGGCUGUAAGCGGCCCGUCUUGAAACACGGACCAAGGAGUCUAACAUCUAUGCGAGUGUUUGGGUGUCAAGCCCGAGCGCGUAAUGAAAGUGAACGGAGGUGGGAACCUUUCGGGGUGCACCAUCGACCGAUCCUGAUGUCUUCGGAUGGAUUUGAGUAAGAGCAUAGCUGUUGGGACCCGAAAGAUGGUGAACUAUGCUUGAAUAGGGUGAAGCCAGAGGAAACUCUGGUGGAGGCUCGCAGCGGUUCUGACGUGCAAAUCGAUCGUCAAAUUUGGGCAUAGGGGCGAAAGACUAAUCGAACUAUCUAGUAGCUGGUUCCUGCCGAAGUUUCCCUCAGGAUAGCAGUAACGUUUUCAGUUUUAUGAGGUAAAGCGAAUGAUUAGAGGCCUGGGGGUUGAAACAACCUUCACCUAUUCUCAACUUUAAAUAUGUAAGAAGUCCUUGUUACUUGAUUGAACGUGGACAGU
RNAcentral lists this ribosomal RNA (1016 nucleotides) under Didymella glomerata. Its description in RNAcentral is "partial large subunit ribosomal RNA". It matches the Rfam family "Eukaryotic large subunit ribosomal RNA", at positions 72 to 1109 of the family's 3401-position model. Lineage: Eukaryota; Fungi; Ascomycota; Dothideomycetes; Pleosporales; Didymellaceae. The record is from RNAcentral.